CAUGAAGCUGGAAUUGCNGUAAUGGCAGGUCAGCAUACUGCCGUGAAUACGUUCCCGGGCCCUUGUACACACCGCCCGUCACACCAUGAGAGUUGGAAAUACCCGAAGCCUGUGAGCUAACUUAAAGAGGCAGCAGUCGAAGGUAGAGCCAAUGAUUGGGGUGAAGUCGUAACAAGGUAGC
This 181-nucleotide ribosomal RNA is filed under the name uncultured bacterium. Its description in RNAcentral is "partial 16S ribosomal RNA". It matches the Rfam family "Bacterial small subunit ribosomal RNA", at positions 1319 to 1500 of the family's 1533-position model. The record is from RNAcentral.